AGGGCCAGCGGGCCCAGGAGCUCCUAGUCAUGGGAUUUCAUGGACCUAUCACUUUUUAAAAGUUAGGUCUGCUCACUCUGUGUCAUCAAGGACAGACCCAAUGGCCCUAACACGAACCCACUGCCAUUUGUUAUCUCCAAGCAGCAGAGCUCUCAGCAUCAAGGACUUUCUAAGAAAGGACCAUGGUGAUGGCUUUGUGACCUGCCUGGCACUCCUGAUACUUCCCAUGGUUGAAACAGAAAUGGGUCUCCUGCCAGUGAACCCAAGAGGAUGAGGAAGUUGGUUUACCACCUUGAUCUUAUUUUUUCCAGUAUUUUUCCAACUUGCUACAGUAACAGAACCUUUGGUCCAGAGCCUGGGAUGUUGCCUUUUGCCCACUGGAAUUCCCAUCUUGGAAGAGUAAGCGCAGGGGAUUGUCCAGACAGCCAGGAGGCCAGCGAAGCCAAGUCCUUCAGUACAGCCUGGGAGCCUCCAGGAAGCUGUUAGGAGUUGCCAUGAUGGGUGCAUUUGGACUCACAGAAUCUGCCUUCCAAUCUCAGUGCUGCUUCUACUCCUUUGCUACCUUAGGUCUUUGAAGACAGGUCCAUACCUUGGGUGUUUGUAUUUGGACAACCACAGACAUUGCCAAGAAAUGUAUCUGUUCUACUUGCACACCUUCACCACCUGGAUGCUGCUUGAGGACACAGAUCUGGUCCAUCAGAUUUCUCUCUGUACUCCUCUCUAUAUUUCGCCAUAUUUGAUAUAGACCCAUCAAUGGCUCCCUAGAAUAAAAUCUCAACUCUUCAC
Molecule: long non-coding RNA, 786 nt
Filed under: Homo sapiens (human)
Lineage: Eukaryota; Metazoa; Chordata; Mammalia; Primates; Hominidae
Description: novel transcript
Source: RNAcentral